GACGAGGGGUCCAAGCGUUGUUCGGAAUUAUUGGGCGUAAAGCGGGUGUAGGUGGCUCUUUAAGUCAGAAGUGAAAGCCCCAAGCUUAACUUGGGAAGUGCUUUUGAUACUGGAGAGCUUGAAUGUGGGAGAGGAUCGUGGAAUUCCAGGUGUAGUGGUGAAAUACGUAGAUAUCUGGAGGAACACCGGUGGCGAAGGCGGCGAUCUGGCCCAACAUUGACACUGAGACCCGAAAGCGUGGGGAUCAAACAGG
Molecule: ribosomal RNA, 253 nt
Filed under: uncultured bacterium
Lineage: Bacteria
Description: partial 16S ribosomal RNA
Rfam family: Bacterial small subunit ribosomal RNA
Source: RNAcentral